RNAcentral lists this ribosomal RNA (468 nucleotides) under uncultured bacterium. Its description in RNAcentral is "partial 16S ribosomal RNA". It matches the Rfam family "Bacterial small subunit ribosomal RNA", at positions 28 to 507 of the family's 1533-position model. The record is from RNAcentral.
GACGAACGCUGGCGGCGUGCUUAACACAUGCAAGUCGAACGGAAAGGCCCUGCUUUUGUGGGGUGCUCGAUUGGCGAACGGGUGAGUAACACGUGAGUAACCUGCCCUUGACUUUGGGAUAACUUCAGGAAACUGGGGCUAAUACCGGAUAGGAUCUCCUGCUGCAUGGUGGUGGUUGGAAAGUUUCGGCGGUUGGGGAUGGACUCGCGGCUUAUCAGCUUGUUGGUGGGGUAGUGGCUUACCAAGGCUUUGACGGGUAGCCGGCCUGAGAGGGUGACCGGCCACAUUGGGACUGAGAUACGGCCCAGAAUCCUACGGGAGGCAGCAGUGGGGAAUAUUGCACAAUGGGCGGAAGCCUGAUGCAGCAACGCCGCGUGCGGGAUGACGGCCUUCGGGUUGUAAACCGAUUUCGCCUGUGACGAAGCGUGAGUGACGGUAAUGGGUAAAGAAGCACCGGCUAACUACGUG